Molecule: long non-coding RNA, 3446 nt
Organism: Passer domesticus (house sparrow)
Lineage: Eukaryota; Metazoa; Chordata; Aves; Passeriformes; Passeridae
Exons: 5
Source: RefSeq, a predicted model, not a curated record
GGGAGAUCAAGUGGAAUUUGUUGGCUGUGCAGAGGAGGAGAUGGAGUCAGUGUUGUGAAGAGCUGCUCUGGAGAUAUCAUUAAGAAGGAUUUUUGUAAAAUUUCAUAUAGAACAGAAUUCUCUUAGCAGUCUGUAAGACCUCCAGCUUCUCUGGAUUUUAAAGCUUGUCUGUGGUGGGACUACUUUCAUGUGAAAAGACUUUACAGUGAUGAUGGGAGAAGCCACCAGGUAUCCAAGGGUUUACAGUACGUUUGUAGAUAGCUUCCUGCUCCUUUAGACUGAAGACACCUGGAAGAGGAGCUUUCUUGAGGUGACCAGAAGGUGGAGGAGCAAGAUCACUAACUCUGAAGAAACCUUUAUGAUAUGAAGGAAUUGACCAACAGAGAAGGAAAGUUUCCCAAAGUUUUGUGGAAACAAUCUAGAAGAUAACAUGAGGGAAGUGGGAAACUGAAUUGUUGACCUCAAGAUUUCCAUUUUACUUGUAAUAACUGUCAAGGAAAAUGGAAAAGUUUGAAAUCCUUUGGAAAAUUUUUUUCCUUCCCACUCUGUGUACACCUGUACACAAAGAGAAGAUGUGACACUUGGAAGACAGCAGCAAGGAGUAAAGGAGGAAAUAGAAAGAAAAUGGCAAUAAAGAAGAAAAAUGUAUGUAACAAAAUGCCAAGGCUCGUGGACAUAGGCCCUGGGGAAUUUGUGGCUGAGCACCCAGCUGACCUCCCUGCUGCCCUGGGUAAACUGCAGGUUGCCUGAGUGAUUCAUGAUCCCACCUCUCACUGCACCAUUUAAACACCUGCUCAAUUAGACUGGCCACUGGUGAAGGUGAAGGAAAUGAAGCUGCUGAGCCGUGGACAGAGAAGCAAGGUAGAAGCAUAUGUUCCCACUUCUUGUCUCACUGCAAGGGUAUUUCCUCAGGGAUAGGACAGAGAGAAUUAUUGUAAUUUCUGAGUUGCUGAAGGAUAUAUUGAAUCACAUAUAUGUGUGCAGAAUAAGAAAAAGAAUCAACGAGUAAAAAUUUUAUCUGUCUCUCUUAGAAGUAAAGGGACUGAAGUACUGAAAGAAGGAAUGGAGUCUUCCUGUUACUGUAUCAGAUCUGAAACAGAAAGAUUCAGAAGUGUGAGUCCUUUCCUGCUGUUUUCUAGACAAAGUUAGGAGCCUUUGUUAGGGAAGAGCAUGUGAUCACCUGCAGACUCCUGCAGACCGAGGUGAUAGGUGACAAUCACACUGAGGUCAAAGCAAGUGAAGGAUCAGGGUGAGAUUUGUUCAAAGCCCUGGGUGCAGACUGUGAUAGCUCAGUAACAGUGAAUGGUGCCUUUUGUUAUGCACUGUCCUAUCAGGCAAUGGGCUAGAGGUGAGCUGAUUGAUAUGAUUGUCCUGAAAUCUCAGUGUGUGUGGGAGAAAAUACAUAAAAUAUUCCUCUUGUCAAGUAUUCUUCUUUACUCAAAGUAGAAGUGUAGAUAAUAUAAAUGGAAUAUAUAUUUUCUUCUACUUUGCCACUGCUAUAGGAUGAAAAGAAUGGAAACUGUAGAACAACGGUCAAGUAGAAAGAAUGGAAAUAGUGCAAGGAUGGAAUGAUUUUAACUGCAAAGAGGAGAGAUUUAGAUUAGAUGAUAGGAAGAAAUUCUUUACUGUGAAGGUGGUGAAACACUGGCACAGGUUCCUCAGGGAAGUUGUGGAUGCCCCAGCCCUGGAAGUGUUCGAGGACAGUUUGGAUGGUGCUUUAAGCAACCUGGUCUAGUGGCAUCACUGCCCAUAGCAGGGGAGGUGGAACUGGAUGAUCAUUCAAGUCCCUUCCAACCCAAACCAUUCAUUGCCACGAUUUUAUGAAAUAUUUUGAUUCCAGCUGGAAAGAAGUUUCAACACAAUUUGGGAGGAGGGAGGAAGGAAAAGAAAAUAAUUGAUUUUGGAUAAAUUUUGGUUUGGUUUAGGUAUAUUUGAUACCAUUUGUAACUUGAUAAUUUGAAAAUGAAUUUUGAAAAGAUUUUUCAAUUUGGAAAACAACUUCCAAAACCACUUUCAAACAGCAUUUUCAGAAAAGCAGAAUUCUGGUUUAAUGAAAAAGCUAUGUUCCAAAUCUUGGUUUUCUUCCACAAGAAGAAGAGUAAAAUCAAGAAUAAACUUUACUCAAAAGCAGCCAAAAGGCUGUUAUUUAGACACAGGUUAAGAUCCCAAGCCUCUCUUGCUCUCAAAUGCUGCAUUCUGAACCACAGAAAACUUCUUUCUCUGUUGUUAUUAUUUCAAUGAUAGACUUCCACAAUAGGUCUUUUUAGAAAUUUGAUUCUUUCAAUUACUCAUACAUAAAUCAAAUAAGUGCCACUGUAAUACAGCAUAAGUUUUAUUGGAAAUUUUGAUUAUACAAGAUAUUUAUGGAAACUAAAUUUCCUGUUUUAUUAGUCUAUUUCUUAAACACAUACAUAACAUAUUUCAGAGCACAGCAGGACUGCAUAAAAGGAUGGGUACUGGUUAAUAUGAAAGGCUAUCAUUAGUGAAAAUUAAAUUAAUUGUAUUAUGCCUUAUGUGCUAUUGGUUUUUAAUGAACAUACUAGAACAAAACAGCAGGAUUUCUUGAGAAGGGAAAAAUUUUGUAAACAAAACAUCAAAUACCUCACCAAGAAGCAUUAAAUUUCUGGAAACUAGAAAGAAAUCAACCAUAAUUUCUAACCUAUUGGAGAAAUUAGAACUACAGCCUCUAAAAUACUGUCUGUACUUUCAAUUCACAUCAGUGAUUUUGCUUAGUCUUUUUAGCCCAUUGCUGGUAGAUUCAGGUAGUCUUCAGAGUAGCUUGUUUCAUGACACAGAAAGAUUCUUCAAACUCUGGUCAGCUAGAUAGGACUGGAUCAUAUUUAAACACCAUGUCCACAUUUGUCAUCUACUUCAUUCUGCUUGAGAAAUUCUUUGAAUAAACUUUAAAAAUUUUCUUUUUUGUCUCUGUAUGUGUAAUAUUUUAUUAAUUACAGAUAUAUCAAAUUGAUCCAUGGACUUUUAGCAAGCUAAUUGCUGUAACAUCUAGAAUGUCCAUUAAAUAAACAGAGGUUAGUAAAGCUUGCUGUUAUCCACCAAAAUAUCCACAGACCUUGAAUCAUAUCUCCCUUGGUUUUUUUCAGUGUAAGGGCAUAGAUUUUGUGGAUUAAAUUUGUGCUGUGCCAAAAUUGACCUAUUAAAAAUCUUUUAAAUUCCUCAAAAGACCUGUUCUAAUCUGGAGCCUGAAAGCUGCAUACACCAUAAAUCUCUCCUGAGUAUUUACAAAAAAGUCACCAGAAGGAAAAUUACCCCACCUAAAUGCUCUUCCAAAUAGAAGAGAGCCUGAAGUAUCUCUUUAAAUUUAUAGAUUUUUUGAUGAAACCUUUAAUCCAAUAUUGAUACUUAAUAUUCACUAAAAUGUGAAAGUGUAAAUAGCUAGGCUGUAUACAAUGAGGUGUUUAAAUAAAAUCAAAUAAAAGAAAAUUAUA